RNAcentral lists this unclassified non-coding RNA (206 nucleotides) under Hevea brasiliensis (rubber tree). Lineage: Eukaryota; Viridiplantae; Streptophyta; Magnoliopsida; Malpighiales; Euphorbiaceae. The record is from RNAcentral.
GAAACAUCUCAUCAUUAAACUGCUGAAAAUAACAUUACACCUCAGUAAAUUAGCAUUAGUACAAGAACAAAAAAAUAAAGAAUCUGAAUCCUAAUAAACCAACAUGAAUGAAAGUCACUUCUUGUUUAUAGCUGGAAAAGGUGAAGAGUUCAGUUUCAUACACCCAACAUAAAUAUCCAAUUGACAAAAUCAAACAUCAUCAAUCA